Molecule: ribosomal RNA, 253 nt
Filed under: uncultured bacterium
Lineage: Bacteria
Description: partial 16S ribosomal RNA
Rfam family: Bacterial small subunit ribosomal RNA
Source: RNAcentral
GACAGAGGUUGCAAACGUUGCUCGGAAUUACUGGGCGUAAAGCGCGUGUAGGCGGACUGAUAAGUCAGGUGUGAAAUCCCCGGGCUCAACCCGGGAACUGCACUUGAAACUGCCAGUCUUGAGUGAUGGAGAGGAUGGCGGAAUUCCUGGUGUAGAGGUGAAAUUCGUAGAUAUCAGGAGGAACACCGGUGGCGAAGGCGGCCAUCUGGAAAUCUACUGACGCUGAGACGCGAAAGCGUGGGGAGCAAACAGG